GAUGAACGCUGGCGGCGUGCCUAAUACAUGCAAGUCGAGCGAACGGACGAGAAGCUUGCUUCUCUGAUGUUAGCGGCGGACGGGUGAGUAACACGUGGAUAACCUACCUAUAAGACUGGGAUAACUUCGGGAAACCGGAGCUAAUACCGGAUAAUAUUUUGAACCGCAUGGUUCAAAAGUAAAAGACGGUCUUGCUGUCACUUAUAGAUGGAUCCGCGCUGCAUUAGCUAGUUGGUAAGGUAACGGCUUACCAAGGCAACGAUGCAUAGCCGACCUGAGAGGGUGAUCGGCCACACUGGAACUGAGACACGGUCCAGACUCCUACGGGAGGCAGCAGUAGGGAAUCUUCCGCAAUGGGCGAAAGCCUGACGGAGCAACGCCGCGUGAGUGAUGAAGGUCUUCGGAUCGUAAAACUCUGUUAUUAGGGAAGAAUAUAUGUGUAAGUAGCUGUGCACAUCUUGACGGUACCUAAUCAGAAAGCCACGGCUAACUACGUGCCAGCAGCCGCGGUAAUACGUAGGUGGCAAGCGUUAUCCGGAAUUAUUGGGCGUAAAGCGCGCGUAGGCGGUUUUUUAAGUCUGAUGUGAAAGCCCACGGCUCAACCGUGGAGGGUCAUUGGAAACUGGAAAACUUGAGUGCAGAAGAGGAAAGUGGAAUUCCAUGUGUAGCGGUGAAAUGCGCAGAGAUAUGGAGGAACACCAGUGGCGAAGGCGACUUUCUGGUCUGUAACUGACGCUGAUGUGCGAAAGCGUGGGGAUCAAACAGGAUUAGAUACCCUGGUAGUCCACGCCGUAAACGAUGAGUGCUAAGUGUUAGGGGGUUUCCGCCCCUUAGUGCUGCAGCUAACGCAUUAAGCACUCCGCCUGGGGAGUACGACCGCAAGGUUGAAACUCAAAGGAAUUGACGGGGACCCGCACAAGCGGUGGAGCAUGUGGUUUAAUUCGAAGCAACGCGAAGAACCUUACCAAAUCUUGACAUCCUUUGACAACUCUAGAGAUAGAGCCUUCCCCUUCGGGGGACAAAGUGACAGGUGGUGCAUGGUUGUCGUCAGCUCGUGUCGUGAGAUGUUGGGUUAAGUCCCGCAACGAGCGCAACCCUUAAGCUUAGUUGCCAUCAUUAAGUUGGGCACUCUAAGUUGACUGCCGGUGACAAACCGGAGGAAGGUGGGGAUGACGUCAAAUCAUCAUGCCCCUUAUGAUUUGGGCUACACACGUGCUACAAUGGACAAUACAAAGGGCAGCGAAACCGCGAGGUCAAGCAAAUCCCAUAAAGUUGUUCUCAGUUCGGAUUGUAGUCUGCAACUCGACUACAUGAAGCUGGAAUCGCUAGUAAUCGUAGAUCAGCAUGCUACGGUGAAUACGUUCCCGGGUCU
Molecule: ribosomal RNA, 1372 nt
Filed under: uncultured bacterium
Lineage: Bacteria
Description: bacterial SSU rRNA
Rfam family: Bacterial small subunit ribosomal RNA
Source: RNAcentral